GUGAGGAAUUUUCCGCAAUGGGCGAAAGCCUGACGGAGCAAUGCCGCGUGAAGGAUGAAGGCCUAUGGGUUGUAAACUUCUUUUCUCAGAAAAGAGUUAUGACGGUAUCUGAGGAAUAAGCAUCGGCUAACUCUGUGCCAGCAGCCGCGGUAAGACAGAGGAUGCAAGCGUUAUCCGGAAUGAUUGGGCGUAAAGCGUCUGUAGGUUGUUUAAAAAGUAUUCUGUCAAAGAUUAGGGCUUAACCCUAGAUAGGCAGAAUAAACUUUUAAGCUAGAGUUUGGUAGAGGCAGAGGGAAUUCCCGGUGGAGCGGUGAAAUGCGUAGAUAUCGGGAGGAACACCAAAGGCGAAGGCACUCUGCUGGGCCAAUACUAACACUGAGAGACGAAAGCGAGGGGAGCAAAUGGGAUUAGAAACCCGUGUAGUCC
This 426-nucleotide ribosomal RNA is filed under the name uncultured bacterium. RNAcentral's name for it is "bacterial SSU rRNA". It matches the Rfam family "Bacterial small subunit ribosomal RNA", at positions 354 to 796 of the family's 1533-position model. The record is from RNAcentral.